Ribozyme from Sarcophilus harrisii (Tasmanian devil), 330 nucleotides. It matches the Rfam family "Nuclear RNase P". Rfam says of the family: Ribonuclease P (RNase P) is a ubiquitous endoribonuclease, found in archaea, bacteria and eukarya as well as chloroplasts and mitochondria. Lineage: Eukaryota; Metazoa; Chordata; Mammalia; Dasyuromorphia; Dasyuridae. The record is from Ensembl.
GGAGGGAAGCUUUCAUUGGGGCUACAAGCUGAGUACAUUACAUCACUCCCUAACCCAGCCUUUGGGAAGAUCUGAGACAAGGGCCAAUAGGGCCCUAGCAGGGCUUCUCCCGCAAUUCUGGGGGGUAAGUAACCAGAAAAUGGGGCCCGGUUCAGGGAUAAACUGGGCAGGAGAUGCUUGUUCUUUAGCUUUCUCUAAUCUUGAUUUUCCCUUGAAACUGGUAAAUUCUACUUUUGCUAUUACUCUGGUGAGGGUUGACUGGGACAGGUCUUUUUCUUUUCUUCAUUUGUUCCAUUUACCCUGCUCUCGAAUAAUGAGGCUUCUAACUCU